CACGCCGCGUGAGUGAUGAACGGUUCUCGGAUCGUAAAACUCUGUUGUUAGGGAAGAACAGUGCCAUAGUAACUGAUGGCACCUUGACGGUACCUAACCACGAAAGCCACGUGCUAACUACGUGCCAAGCACCCGCGGCUAAUACGUACGUGUGGCAAGACGUUGUCCGGCAAUUAUUGGCGCGAUAAAGCGCCUCCGCAGGCGGCUUCUUCACAGUCCUGAUGCUCGAAAUCUCUACGGGCUCCAACCGAUAAACCGCUGCAUCGGCAAACUGCCGCAACUUGCAGUGCACACACAGGACCAGUGGAAUUCCCCGUGCUCCCGGUGACAUGCGUAGCACAUGUGGAGCCAACACCAAUGGCGAACGCGACUCUUCUGGUCUGUAACU
Molecule: ribosomal RNA, 388 nt
Filed under: uncultured bacterium
Lineage: Bacteria
Description: bacterial SSU rRNA
Rfam family: Bacterial small subunit ribosomal RNA
Source: RNAcentral